Molecule: small nucleolar RNA, 39 nt
Filed under: Peromyscus maniculatus bairdii (prairie deer mouse)
Lineage: Eukaryota; Metazoa; Chordata; Mammalia; Rodentia; Cricetidae
Description: Small nucleolar RNA SNORA32 (ENSPEMG00000030874.1)
Source: RNAcentral
UACCAAGGCUAUCAAUGCAGUUUCUCAUUUGCUGUAGAC